GAGGGCUGCAUAACUGAUGGAAGGCCGGGCGCGGUAAGAGCGUCUCGGGGAGUAGGGCAAGGCGGCCGGGCCCCUCCCAUUCCGCCUUUUCUUCAGCGUCCUGCCCGCGGCACUGGCUGCGGGUGCCGGGCCACCUGCGAGUGUGCGGAGGGAUUCCGGACACCCGCGGCGGCGAGCUGAGGGAGCAGUCUCCACGAGAACUGAGGCGGACCCUCUGGCGCCAUGCGCGCCCUCCCCGGCCUGCUGGGGGCGAGGGCGCCUACGCCCCGGCUGCUUCUCCUCCUCCAGUGCCUUCUCGCCGCCGCGCGCCCAAGCUCGGCGGACGGCAGUGCCCCAGGAGUGAGUCCGUGCUGCUGCACAUGCCCCAGCCUGUGAAUCCAGAGCUCACUACAGGGCGCAUCACAGGACUGGUGGACAGGCUCAACCACUUCCGAGGUCAGCGCAAGGGAAUAUUAAUGGAUCUCUCUUGGAUAUUUUGAGUUUGAAGUUCCCAUGGGAUAUCCAGAUUUAGAUGCUCCGUAGACACCUGGAGCUGUAAAAUAAAAAAAAAAGACUUCAGUGGAGAUUCUAAUUUUAACAUUCUAGUAUGCCAGUAGAAAAAAACAUCACUUUAGAAAGGCCUUCUGAUGUAAAUCUCACAUGCCAGUUCACAACAUCCGGGGAUUUGAAUGCAGUAAAUGUGACUUGGAAAAAAGAUAGUGAACAACUUGAGAAUAAUUAUCUUGUCAGUGCAACAGGAAGCACCUUAUAUACCCAAUACAGGUUCACCAUCAUUAACAGCAAACAAAUGGGAAGUUAUUCUUGUUUCUUCUGAGAGGAAAAAGAACGAAGGGGAACAUUUAAUUUCAAAGUCCCUGAACUUCAUGGGAAAAACAAGCCAUUGAUCUCUUACGUAGGGGAUUCUACUGUCUUGACAUGUAAAUGUCAAAAUUGUUUUCCUUUAAAUUGGACCUGGUACAGUAGUAAUGGGAGUGUAAAGGUUCCUGUUGGUGUUCAAAUGAAUAAAUAUGUGAUCAAUGGAACAUAUGCUAAUGAAACAAAGCUGAAGAUAACACAACUUUUGGAGGAAGAUGGGGGAUUUUACUGGUGCCAUGCACUAUUCCAAUUAGACGAGAGUGAAGAACACAUUGAGCUUGUGGUGCUGAGCUAUUUGGUGCCCCUCAAACCAUUUCUUGCAAUAGUGGCUGAGGUGAUUCUUUUAGUGGCCACCAUUCUGCUUUGUGAAAAGUACACACAAAAGAAAAA
This is a long non-coding RNA of Homo sapiens (human), 1245 nucleotides long. Ensembl annotates it as embigin pseudogene 1. Its record names the gene EMBP1. The record is from Ensembl. NCBI's taxonomy places the organism in Eukaryota, Metazoa, Chordata, Mammalia, Primates, Hominidae.